RNAcentral lists this transfer RNA (91 nucleotides) under Fusarium falciforme. Its description in RNAcentral is "tRNA-Tyr". It matches the Rfam family "tRNA". Rfam says of the family: Transfer RNA (tRNA) molecules are approximately 80 nucleotides in length. Lineage: Eukaryota; Fungi; Ascomycota; Sordariomycetes; Hypocreales; Nectriaceae. The record is from RNAcentral.
CUCUCGGUAGCCAAGUUGGUUUUUAAGGCGCAAGACUGUAAUUUACCACUACGAAAUCUUGAGAUCGGGCGUUCGACUCGCCCCCGGGAGA